AUCCUGGCUCAGGAUGAACGCUGGCGGCGUGCCUAACACAUGCAAGUCGAACGAGAAGCCUGAUUUCGAUUAGGUGGAGAGUGGCGCACGGGUGAGUAACACAUGGCUGACCUGCCCUUCAGAGGGGGACAACCACCGGAAACGGUGGCUAAUACCCCAUACGCUCGCCGUGAUUAGCAGGCGGUGAGGAAACCUUCGGGGCUGAGGGAGGGGGCUGUGGCCCAUCAGCUAGUUGGUAGGGUAACGGCCUACCAAGGCAAAGACGGGUAGGGGGCCUGAGAGGGUGACCCCCCACACGGGCACUGAGACACGGGCCCGACUUCUACGGAAGGCAGCAGUGAGGGAUAUUGCCCAAUGGACGGAAGUCUGAGGCAGCAACGCCGCGUGCGGGAUGAAGGCCUUCGGGUUGUAAACCGCUUUUCUGCGCGAAGAGGAAGGACGGUAGCGCAGGAAGAAGUCUCGGCUAACUACGUGCCAGCAGCCGCGGUAAAACGUAGGAGGCGAGCGUUAUCCGGAUUUACUGGGUGUAAAGCGCGUGCAGACGGUCAUGUAAGUGGUGCGUGAAAGCGCCCGGCUCAACCGGGCGAGGCCGUGCCAAACUGCGUGACUGGAGGCAGGUAGAGGCGCGUGGAAUUCCGGGUGUAGUGGUGAAAUGCGUAGAUAUCCGGAGGAACACCAGUGGCGAAGGCGGCGCGCUGGGCCUGACCUGACGCUAAGACGCGAAAGCAUGGGGAGCGAACGGGAUUAGAAACCCCGGUAGUCCAUGCUGUAAACGCUGCAGACUAGGUGUUGCGUGCGACGAGUAUGCAGUGCCGAAGCCAACGUGAUAAGUCUGCCACCUGGGGACUACGGCCGCAAGGUUAAAACUCAAAGGAAUUGACGGGGGCCCCGCACAAGCAGCGGAGCGUGUGGUUUAAUUCGAGGCUACACGAAGAACCUUACCU
RNAcentral lists this ribosomal RNA (944 nucleotides) under uncultured Chloroflexota bacterium. RNAcentral's name for it is "bacterial SSU rRNA". It matches the Rfam family "Bacterial small subunit ribosomal RNA", at positions 16 to 976 of the family's 1533-position model. The record is from RNAcentral. Lineage: Bacteria; Bacillati; Chloroflexota.